Salmo salar (Atlantic salmon) is the source of this 190-nucleotide non-coding RNA. The record is from RefSeq and is a predicted model, not a curated record. Lineage: Eukaryota; Metazoa; Chordata; Actinopteri; Salmoniformes; Salmonidae.
UGAGUGUGUUCUGUUUAGAAGGUCAAUGUGAUUGUUCUGUUUAGAAGGUCAAUGUGAUUGAGUGUGUUCUGUUUAGAAGGUAAAUGUGAUUGAGUGUGUUCUGUUUAGAAGGUCAAUGUGAUUGAGUGUGUUCUGUUUAGAAGGUAAAUGUGAUUGAGUGUGUUCUGUUUAGAAGGUAAAUGUGAUUGAG